Molecule: ribosomal RNA, 454 nt
Filed under: uncultured Chloroflexota bacterium
Lineage: Bacteria; Bacillati; Chloroflexota
Description: bacterial SSU rRNA
Rfam family: Bacterial small subunit ribosomal RNA
Source: RNAcentral
ACGGGGCCCGCACAAGCAGCGGAGCGUGUGGUUAAUUCGAUGCAACGCGAAGAACCUUACCAAGGCUUGACAUGCCAGAAGUAGGAACUCGAAAGAGAGACACCUGUAUCCAGUCAGGAACUGGCACAGGUGCUGCAUGGCUGUCGUCAGCUCGUGCCGUGAGGUGUUAGGUUAAGUCCUGCAACGAGCGCAACCCUCGUCGCUAGUUAAAUUUUCUAGCGAUACUGCCCGUAAAACGAGGAGGAAGGUGGGAUGACGUCAAGUCAGCAUGGCCCUUACGCCUUGGGCUACACACACGCUACAAUGGGUGAUACAACGGGUUGCGAGAGAGCGAUCUGGAGCUAAUCCCUAAAAUCAUCCUCAGUUCGGAUUGCAGGCUGAAACUGCCUGCAUGAAGUUGGAGUUGCUAGUAACCGCAGGUCAGCACACUGCGGUGAAUACGUUCUCGGGCCUU